GAUUGAACACUGGUGGCAGGCCUAACACAUGCAAGUCGAGCGGCAUCGAGUGAGCGCAGUUUACUGAGUUCAUGUCGGCGAGCGGCGGACGGGUGAGUAAAGUCUGGGAAUCUGGCCGAAGGAGGGGGAUAACUGCUGGAAACGGCAGCUAAUACCGCAUGAAGUCGCGAGACCAAAGUGGGGGACCUUCGGGCCUCACGCCUUCGGAUGAGCCCAGAUGAGAUUAGCUGGUAGGUAAGGUAAAGGCUUACCUAGGCGACGAUCUCUAGCGGGUCUGAGAGGAUAGCCCGCCACACUGGAACUGAGACACGGUCCAGACUCCUACGGGAGGCAGCAGUGGGGAAUAUUGCACAAUGGGCGAAAGCCUGAUGCAGCCAUGCCACGUGUGUGAAGAAGGCCUUCG
This 403-nucleotide ribosomal RNA is filed under the name Candidatus Williamhamiltonella defendens. RNAcentral's name for it is "bacterial SSU rRNA". It matches the Rfam family "Bacterial small subunit ribosomal RNA", at positions 27 to 420 of the family's 1533-position model. The record is from RNAcentral. Lineage: Bacteria; Pseudomonadati; Pseudomonadota; Gammaproteobacteria; Enterobacterales; Enterobacteriaceae.